UGGGCGCAAGCCUGAUGCAGCCAUGCCGCGUGGUGGUGAAGAAGGCCUUCGGGUUGUAAAGCACUUUCAGUCGUGAGGAAGGUAGUGUAGUUAAUAGCUGCAUUACUUGACSKUAGCGACAGAAGAAGCMCSGKCUAACUCCGUG
RNAcentral lists this ribosomal RNA (145 nucleotides) under Vibrio parahaemolyticus. Its description in RNAcentral is "partial 16S ribosomal RNA". It matches the Rfam family "Bacterial small subunit ribosomal RNA", at positions 372 to 507 of the family's 1533-position model. Lineage: Bacteria; Pseudomonadati; Pseudomonadota; Gammaproteobacteria; Vibrionales; Vibrionaceae. The record is from RNAcentral.